RNAcentral lists this ribosomal RNA (1655 nucleotides) under Escherichia coli. Its description in RNAcentral is "partial 23S ribosomal RNA". It matches the Rfam family "Bacterial large subunit ribosomal RNA", at positions 1210 to 2843 of the family's 2925-position model. Lineage: Bacteria; Pseudomonadati; Pseudomonadota; Gammaproteobacteria; Enterobacterales; Enterobacteriaceae. The record is from RNAcentral.
GACGCUGAUGCGUUGUUGGGUAGGGGAGCGUUCUGUAAGCCUGUGAAGGUGUGCUGUGAGGCAUGCUGGAGGUAUCAGAAGUGCGAAUGCUGACAUAAGUAACGAUAAAGCGGGUGAAAAGCCCGCUCGCCGGAAGACCAAGGGUUCCUGUCCAACGUUAAUCGGGGCAGGGUGAGUCGACCCCUAAGGCGAGGCCGAAAGGCGUAGUCGAUGGGAAACAGGUUAAUAUUCCUGUACUUGGUGUUACUGCGAAGGGGGGACGGAGAAGGCUAUGUUGGCCGGGCGACGGUUGUCCCGGUUUAAGCGUGUAGGCUGGUUUUCCAGGCAAAUCCGGAAAACUAAGGCUGAGGCGUGAUGACGAGGCACUACGGUGCUGAAGCAACAAAUGCCCUGCUUCCAGGAAAAGCCUCUAAGCAUCAGGUAACAUCAAAUCGUACCCCAAACCGACACAGGUGGUCAGGUAGAGAAUACCAAGGCGCUUGAGAGAACUCGGGUGAAGGAACUAGGCAAAAUGGUGCCGUAACUUCGGGAGAAGGCACGCUGAUAUGUAGGUGAAGUCCCUCGCGGAUGGAGCUGAAAUCAGUCGAAGAUACCAGCUGGCUGCAACUGUUUAUUAAAAACACAGCACUGUGCAAACACGAAAGUGGACGUAUACGGUGUGACGCCUGCCCGGUGCCGGAAGGUUAAUUGAUGGGGUCAGCGCAAGCGAAGCUCUUGAUCGAAGCCCCGGUAAACGGCGGCCGUAACUAUAACGGUCCUAAGGUAGCGAAAUUCCUUGUCGGGUAAGUUCCGACCUGCACGAAUGGCGUAAUGAUGGCCAGGCUGUCUCCACCCGAGACUCAGUGAAAUUGAACUCGCUGUGAAGAUGCAGUGUACCCGCGGCAAGACGGAAAGACCCCGUGAACCUUUACUAUAGCUUGACACUGAACAUUGAGCCUUGAUGUGUAGGAUAGGUGGGAGGCUUUGAAGUGUGGACGCCAGUCUGCAUGGAGCCGACCUUGAAAUACCACCCUUUAAUGUUUGAUGUUCUAACGUUGACCCGUAAUCCGGGUUGCGGACAGUGUCUGGUGGGUAGUUUGACUGGGGCGGUCUCCUCCUAAAGAGUAACGGAGGAGCACGAAGGUUGGCUAAUCCUGGUCGGACAUCAGGAGGUUAGUGCAAUGGCAUAAGCCAGCUUGACUGCGAGCGUGACGGCGCGAGCAGGUGCGAAAGCAGGUCAUAGUGAUCCGGUGGUUCUGAAUGGAAGGGCCAUCGCUCAACGGAUAAAAGGUACUCCGGGGAUAACAGGCUGAUACCGCCCAAGAGUUCAUAUCGACGGCGGUGUUUGGCACCUCGAUGUCGGCUCAUCACAUCCUGGGGCUGAAGUAGGUCCCAAGGGUAUGGCUGUUCGCCAUUUAAAGUGGUACGCGAGCUGGGUUUAGAACGUCGUGAGACAGUUCGGUCCCUAUCUGCCGUGGGCGCUGGAGAACUGAGGGGGGCUGCUCCUAGUACGAGAGGACCGGAGUGGACGCAUCACUGGUGUUCGGGUUGUCAUGCCAAUGGCACUGCCCGGUAGCUAAAUGCGGAAGAGAUAAGUGCUGAAAGCAUCUAAGCACGAAACUUGCCCCGAGAUGAGUUCUCCCUGACUCCUUGAGAGUCCUGAAGGAACGUUGAAG